This 1291-nucleotide long non-coding RNA is filed under the name Sus scrofa (pig). Its description in RNAcentral is "lncRNA (ENSSSCG00070030154.1)". The record is from RNAcentral. Lineage: Eukaryota; Metazoa; Chordata; Mammalia; Artiodactyla; Suidae.
GUCCAAGACUCCAGCAGCAGCUCAGAGAGGGCUCCCUCUAGUAAAUCCUCAUCACUUGGCCCGAAGUCCAGACCUCCCUGGGGAGCAGACAGCUCCAGAAGGUGAGGACUGCAAAAUGGCUGCAAGUUAUAGGCCUCGCUGUGAUCGGAGCUGAAGAGGGAACCUGCGAGUGGGUACUGAGGUCCUUCUCCGCUCCUGAGGUGCUCAGUCCUGUUGGGGUCGGACCUCACCACUGCUGCGGGGCCUGCUUUCUGCGCUAGGUGGCGAAAUGCUGUGGGGCUCCCCUAUUCGGGGGAAUGCGGUAGUGAUGUAUAAGGUAUGAAAGAUGUGGCCUGCAGAGAGCCGGCACUAUCUCUACUGCUGCUGCUACUGCUGUUGCUGCCGAGGCUGCCACAGCCGCUACUGCUGCCGGCAGAGCUGCUGGGAGUGAGCAUCCCCCGUCUGGGAUAACCAGCUCCGCGGCAUCUCCUGCGUGCCCUGGCUCCACAGGGACCUGCCAGCCCUAGGGAACAAAAGCGGAGCCCCUUCUCGCCCUCUCCUGCAGCCAGAGGAUGAGUCGAGAGGGCUGAGCGGAGAGUGUGGUUCUUGGCGACUGGGCGGCGGAGAAGGUAGACGAAUUGAAGGAAAGAAACACUUCUGCAUGGGAUUUGAAAGCAUCAGAGAAUUUUAUCAUCUCCGACUCGUACCGACACGAGGACUGUUAGGUAAAGGCGUCUCCCACAACCUCCCGUCCAAUUUCUCUUACAUCACUCUUGGCGGGCAGCCAACCAGAAGCGCUUGCUAUUUUAUUCAGUAUCGCAUCUGCUGAGCCAACAUCCACCUGCCCUAUUUCACCUCCAUCCUCACUCUGUCCUCUGGAGUUUCACAGCAGAAACCUUGUCCCUCCUCUGUUGCUUCUACUGAAGUGACUCCACUUCAGAUGUUUGAGAAUGAUGCUCUUGGCUCAUUAUCUUCUUUUCUUUGAAUUUGUCUUGCUGUUUUAUUGUUUUCAAUGAUAAUAUAUGGAUUUUGUUGAGGUAAAAACCUACUUUGUGCCAGACUCUGUCCUAAAUGCCUUAGUAAGUUUUUAAUCUUACCAUAGCUGGUGAGUAUGCCCCAGUUUUACAGAACUCUCAUUGCCCCAGUUUUACAGAAGAGAUUAUUGAGGUCCAGCCCAGCUGGUGCAUGGCCUAGCUAGGAUCCAAUUCUAGGGUGCUAGCUGCAGACUCUGCCAUCUGAACCCUUAGUCUAUAUCCCUCCCUUUUAUAAUGUUACUAAUAAAAUAAUAUAAACGGUAUUAUUAUAGGUGCCA